Molecule: small nuclear RNA, 111 nt
Filed under: Neogale vison (American mink)
Lineage: Eukaryota; Metazoa; Chordata; Mammalia; Carnivora; Mustelidae
Description: Neovison vison (American mink) U4 spliceosomal RNA (ENSNVIG00000020423.1)
Rfam family: U4 spliceosomal RNA
About the family: U4 small nuclear RNA (U4 snRNA) is a component of the major U2-dependent spliceosome. The structure of U4 snRNA from yeast and human has been reported. U4 snRNA presents a k-turn RNA motif in the 5p-SL related to recognition of Snu13 protein.
Source: Rfam by way of RNAcentral
AGCUUUGUGCAGGGGCAGUAUCACAGCCCACGGAAGCAUGAUUAUUGCUAAUUGAAAACUCUCCCCAAAGAGGAAGCUUCUUCUAAUUCAUAUUAAAACUCUACAUAAGUU